CAAAAUGUCCAUACAAAAAUCAGGAUAGUCCACUCAUCAAGCAAUCUACACGUGGAUAUUGGAUGUAUAUCAUGAGCAAGUUUUUAUUCUAAAAGAUAGUAACUGGUGGUUCACAUGAUGAUUAGACAAAUUAUUGGUAUUCUUUCAUAAGUUAUUUGGCUUGGCAUAGGCAAAUAAAUAAAGACAAAUGUCAUAAAUGAUAGAUAUUGGUUUUACGUAAAAUCAUAUCAAUGUGAUUUACAAGGUAUAUUAUUAUGAAGAUGGUACAUGUACAAUGACUAAAGAUCACAAGCAACUAGUUUAAUCUGCAUGUGUAGGAUGAUAGUUCAUGUUCACAGUAGAAUGAUCUUUUCUCCACUUUAGCUUGAGGAAAUGGUCUAAUUUCAGGGUUUGCCACAUCUUAAUGUUAGAAUAAAGUGGUAGAAUGAUCUUGGUCAACCCAAUUGGCCAAGAGAUCUAUUAUCCACUUCUUCUAACAAUCAAGUGUUUGUACAUGAAAUUAUUCUACUUUCAUGAGAAAUCUGAAGUGCUUCUCUCAAUCUGCUAAUUUGAUUACGUGGAAACCCGAAGAUAUGCAUUAUUUGAUUGAUUUCUUCUUAAUAGUCAGGACCUAUUAAGCAGCUGUUCCUUCACAAGCUCAAUCGCUCAUAGGUGCAUAUAUAUCCAAAUGCACAGAACCAGUGGGCUGCAGGUUAUGGACUUCAACCUCAAGCUUGGCCACAGGCUCCUCAAGCACCGGGCCAGCAGUGGAAUCCUGCCUAUUCUCAACAGAUUUCCAUCAUUAUUUAACUGCACAAAUGCAGCCAAUGGGAAGCUCAUAUGGGGCAGUUCCUUGGCAAGAAGGGAGUAACUGCUGAUCUACUAAUGGCUGGAUAGAUAAAUGUUGGAGUAUCUUGGAUUCAUCAGCUGAGUAUUAUUGCCUGGAUGACUUAUGGAAGCAACAGUUAAGAGUUAAGUGGUUCAUGUUUACAGGUGGUUGAUUUGUUAUACGUCUUUCAUUUCAUUCUUGUUUUGUUUGUUGAAUAGACUUUUUAUCGGUCUUGUUCAUAUGUAUUAGAGAUCAAGGAGUUUUAUCUGUUUUUGUCUCUUAUGCAUUCAUGCAAAUUUAAUUAAUUUACAGUUUAUAGCUAA
Molecule: long non-coding RNA, 1131 nt
Organism: Magnolia sinica
Lineage: Eukaryota; Viridiplantae; Streptophyta; Magnoliopsida; Magnoliales; Magnoliaceae
Exons: 3
Source: RefSeq, a predicted model, not a curated record